GUACGGCCGCAAGGUUAAAACUCAAAUGAAUUGACGGGGGCCCGCACAAGCGGUGGAGCAUGUGGUUUAAUUCGAUGCAACGCGAAGAACCUUACCUGGUCUUGACAUCCACGGAAGUUUUCAGAGAUGAGAAUGUGCCUUCGGGAACCGUGAGACAGGUGCUGCAUGGCUGUCGUCAGCUCGUGUUGUGAAAUGUUGGGUUAAGUCCCGCAACGAGCGCAACCCUUAUCCUUUGUUGCCAGCGGUCCGGCCGGGAACUCAAAGGAGACUGCCAGUGAUAAACUGGAGGAAGGUGGGGAUGACGUCAAGUCAUCAUGGCCCUUACGACCAGGGCUACACACGUGCUACAAUGGCGCAUACAAAGAGAAGCGACCUCGCGAGAGCAAGCGGACCUCAUAAAGUGCGUCGUAGUCCGGAUUGGAGUCUGCAACUCGACUCCAUGAAGUCGGAAUCGCUAGUAAUCGUGGAUCAGAAUGCCACGGUGAAUACGUUCCCGGGCCUUGUACACACCGCCCGUCACACCAUGGGAGUGGGUUGCAAAAGAAGUAGGUAGCUUAACCUUCGGGAGGGCGCUUA
This 576-nucleotide ribosomal RNA is filed under the name Escherichia coli. RNAcentral describes it as "bacterial SSU rRNA". It matches the Rfam family "Bacterial small subunit ribosomal RNA", at positions 880 to 1456 of the family's 1533-position model. Lineage: Bacteria; Pseudomonadati; Pseudomonadota; Gammaproteobacteria; Enterobacterales; Enterobacteriaceae. The record is from RNAcentral.